UAUUAAAUAUCUGGGGUAGAGCACUCAUUAAACUAGGGGGAUACUGCAUCUUACCAAAUUUAGGGAAACUCCGAAUACGGAUAAUUUUGAACUAUGUAGACAGACCUUGGGAGCUAAGUUCCUGGGUCAAGAGGGAAACAGCCCAGAGUGUUCGUUAAGAUCCUCAAAUUUUAUCUAAGUGGACAAGAAUGUGAGAAGAUAAAGACAGCUAGGAGGUAGGCUUGGAAGCAGCCAUCCUCUAAGGAAAGCGUAACAGCUCACUAGCCUAAUUUUCUUGCGUCGAAAAUAUAUUGGGACUAAAGAUAAAUAUCGAAACGGCACUUUUAUUAAAUCAAUAAAAAGUAGCGAAACGUUCUGUAAGCCUGAGAAGAAAGGUUGUAAAAUCUUUUGGAGGUAUCAGAAGUGAGAAUAUUGGCAUGAGUAACGAUAAAGAAUGUAAAAACAUUCUCGCCGUAAGUCCAAGGGUUCCGACGUAAAGUUAAACUGCGAAGGGUUAGACGGUCCCUAAGAAGAAGACGAAAGUCGUAUUCGAUGGGUAAUGUAUGAUAAAUAUUUACAUACUCUUAAAAAUGACUAAAAUAGUAAUUCGCGUACCUAUACUCAUUAAAUGGAUUUGAGUCGUGAAGAAUAUUUUACAGGAAAUAAUUUUUAAGUAAUUACCGUACCCUAAACCGACACAGGUGGACGAGUCGAGUAGACUAAGGCGCUUGAGAGAACUAUGUUGAAGGAACUCGGCAAAAUGGCCCUGUAACUUCGGGAGAAAGGGUGCCUAAAUAGGAUAGGUAGUCUUAUUUAGGCGGCACUGAAUAGGGAGUAGCGACUGUUUAAUAAAAACACAGGACUCUGCUAAAUUGUAAAAUGACGUAUAGGGUCUGACACCUGCCCGGUGCUGGAAAGUUAAGGGGAUGUAUUUUUGUAUUGAACCGAAGCUCCAGUAAACGGCGGCCGUAACUCUGACGGUCCAAAGGUAGCGAAAUUCCUUGUCGGGUAAGUUCCGACCUGCAUGAAUGGUGUAACGACUUCUCCGCUGUCUCCAACAUAGACUCAGUGAAAUUGAAAUGGCUGUGCAGAUACGGCCCUCCUAUAGCUAGACGGAAAGACCCCGUGCACCUUUACUACAUCUUUACAUUGUAAAAAGAUUUCAUAUGUGUAGAAUAGGUGGUAGCCUUUAAUACCUUAACGUAAGUUAACCGUAUAGGCAUCUUUGAAAUACCACCCUUAUGAUUUCACUUUACUUACCUUUCUAGGGACAAUGUAUGGUUGGUAGUUUGACUGGGGCGGUCGCCUCCUAAAAAGUAACGGAGGUGUACAAAGGUAGACUCAAAUUGUAUUUAAUCAAUUGUAGAGUGUAAUGGCAUAAGUUUGCUUGACUGUAAGAUAGACAUAUCGAGCAGGGACGAAAGUCGGUCAUAGUGAUCCGGUGGUUCUUUGUGA
This 1434-nucleotide ribosomal RNA is filed under the name marine metagenome. Its description in RNAcentral is "bacterial LSU rRNA". It matches the Rfam family "Bacterial large subunit ribosomal RNA", at positions 887 to 2436 of the family's 2925-position model. The record is from RNAcentral.